Small nuclear RNA from Phyllostomus discolor (pale spear-nosed bat), 163 nucleotides. RefSeq annotates it as U1 spliceosomal RNA. The transcript has a single exon. The record is from RefSeq and is a predicted model, not a curated record. NCBI's taxonomy places the organism in Eukaryota, Metazoa, Chordata, Mammalia, Chiroptera, Phyllostomidae.
AUACUUACCUGGUAGGGGAGAUACCUUGACCACAAAGGUGGUUUUCCUAGGGUGAGGCUUACUCAUUGCACUCUGGAUGUGCUGACCCCUGCAGUUUCCCCAAUGUGGGAAACUCGACUGCGUAAUUUGUGGUAGUAGGGGACUGUGUUUGCACUUUUCUCUU